AUGAAAUCGCCAUUGCGGAGGCUCCGGGGCUUCGGCCACCACCACCCCAAGGAGCGGAAGGCGCACCCCCCGCCGCCCGCCAAGCUCGACGAGCUCGCCGAAGCUGCCCAGGAUGUGGAACAAAUGAGGAAGUGUUAUGACGGCUUGCUUUCAGCUGCAGCCGCUACAACAAAUAGCGUCUAUGAGUUUUCGGAGGCCUUGGAGGAAAUGGGAAGUUGCUUACUUGCAAAAAAUGCACUAAAUGAUGAGGAUGAUGAUAGUGGCAGAGUGCUGAUGAUGCUUGGAAAGGCCCAGUUUGAACUAACAAAGUCUCUGGAUAACUAUCGUACACAUAUCAUUCAUACAAUCACUACCCCAUCGGAAUCUCUUCUCAAGGAGCUACAAACCGUGGAGGAAAUGAAGCACCAAUGUGACACGAAAAGGGAGGCGUACGAAGUCAUGAGGGCAUCUUAUGGACAAAAAGGACAGUCAAAGAAUUCAAAAGUCGAAUCGUUUUCUGCAGAACAACUGCAAGAUUCACUUGUUGAAUACCAAGAGGAUGCAGCGUUGUUCAUAUUUCGCUUGAAAUCUCUGAAGCAGGGGCAAUUCCAUAGUCUUUUAACACAGGCUGCUCGCCAUCAUGCUUCUCAGCUAAUUUUUUUCAGGAGAGGACUCAAGUGCCUUGAGGCACUUGAACCCCAUGUAAAAGCAAUAGCUGAGAAACAGCACAUUGACUAUCAGUUCACCGGCCUUGAGGACAAUGAAUCUGACAACGAUGGCUCCAGCUCUUACCAAGAGACUUGUAGUGAUGACAGAGAACUGAGUUUCGACUAUGAAAUAAAUGAUAGAGACCAAGAUUUUAUUGCUUCGAGAGGUUCAAUGGAUUUGGAUAAAGGAGACCUGAGGACUUCCCCAACGCCAAUAAAAGAGAUCAAGCAGGAAGAGGUGAAGCUACUGAAGGCAGAAGCAGCAGCUCCACAAGUGAAGCCUGAGAUCAUCACACAUUCAGCUCCAAUGUUUGCUGACAAUUUUGUCGAUCAAACAGAGAGGCUUCGGCAAAUCCGGCCAUCUUCAGCCCGGCACUCAUACAAACUCCCAACACCAGCGGAUGAUGACUAUCCCAGAUCAGCAGCUGUUCACAGGUCUCAUCAUUCCGCGCAUUUUUUCGGAAGUAAAGAUGGCGCUGCAGCCAACUUGUGGCAUUCAUCUCCACCGGCGAAAGAUUACAAGGCGAGCACCAUGCAUAGUGGUCCCAUUAAACUGCCAUCAAACUCUGAUUUUAGUAAGAAGUUAAAGAGAGAGUCCUGGUCUGGUCCGAUUCCAAGCAAAGCAGGAUCAAGCAAGCCUGAUCCCAAGUCAUCCAUGGGCCGUCCUCAUGCGAUGAUAUCCAAGUCGUGUGUUCAUGCUAGGCAGCCGUCACCAGUUUCACCCAAGAUGUUCCCACCUUCAAUAGUAUCCCCCAAAAUCAGUGAGGUUCAUGAGCUGCCUAGGCCUCCGGCCAAUGUUGAGCCCCUCCGGCCUUGUGGUCUAGUUGGCUACUCCGGUCCUUUGGUAUCAAAGCGCCAAGCUCCUACAGCACCUGUCCGUGCCUCGCCAACAGCGUCGCAGACAGCCUCGCCGCUUCCGCGGCCACCUGCUUCCUUGGCUCGCAGUUUCUCCAUACCCUCGAACAGCCAGAGAACACCCCUCAUUACAGUCAAUAAGUUGCUUGAGGCCAGAAGUAGCAGAGAGAGCAGUGAAAUUUCCUCCCCACCACUCACUCCGUUGUUUUCUUCUACCAGCCAACACAAAAAACAAUUAAAGGCAGCACUCGGAGAAAAGGGUAUGUCAUAG
This 1812-nucleotide ribosomal RNA is filed under the name Triticum aestivum (bread wheat). RNAcentral describes it as "partial small subunit ribosomal RNA". The record is from RNAcentral. Lineage: Eukaryota; Viridiplantae; Streptophyta; Magnoliopsida; Poales; Poaceae.